AGCCGCAUUGAUGCGAUCGGGAAACUCAUCAAUUUUAAAAGAAAUACCGAGACAAGCUCCAUAUUCCAAUGGCGGGCCACGCCCGAAAGGGUAACUUAGAGUCGGUGGAUUACAAAGGGAUUGGGCUCUCAAAUCAUGUCGUUCGGAGUUUCAUCUUCAUCUAAUAUUCAGUGCGGCUUCCU
This 182-nucleotide small RNA is filed under the name bovine gut metagenome. RNAcentral describes it as "Bacteroidales-1 6S-Bacteroidales RNA suggested". It matches the Rfam family "Bacteroidales-1 6S-Bacteroidales RNA suggested". The record is from RNAcentral.